GGGGAUGACUGGUUUCGACGCUGGUUACAAACCCUGCGGUGCAUGUCGAGAUCGCUUGGUAUCUCGUAAAUAAAACCCUGCAAACAUUUAGUCGCAAACGACGAAAACUACGCACUAGCGGCCUAAAUCCCGCUUACACUGAGCACCAGAUGCCUGUAAAUGGUUGCAAAGUGGCACGCAGAACAGGAUCGUGUGGAACUCUCGCUCGUGGGUGAAGCACUAAAAUAAAUCGAGAUCGCCCUAUACACCCUGACUUUCGGGUCGUUGUGGGUUAAAACAAUAGAAAGAUCUAAACAUGUAGAGCCAAUGGCAGAGGACUGACGGACGGGGGUUCGACUCCCCCCAUCUCCACCA
This 354-nucleotide transfer-messenger RNA is filed under the name Pseudomonadales. RNAcentral's name for it is "ASP10-02a sp003521845 Standard tmRNA". It matches the Rfam family "transfer-messenger RNA". From Rfam's summary of the family: Bacterial tmRNA, also known as 10Sa RNA or SsrA, is named for its dual tRNA and mRNA-like properties. Its role is to liberate the mRNA from a stalled ribosome. RNAcentral also lists the same sequence under 1 other name. Lineage: Bacteria; Pseudomonadati; Pseudomonadota; Gammaproteobacteria. The record is from RNAcentral.